UUAAGUGACUAAGCGUACACGGUGGAUGCCUUGGCAGUCAGAGGCGAUGAAAGACGUAGUAACUUGCGAUAAGCCCAGAUUAGGUAGUAACAACCAUUUGAGUCUGGGAUUUCUGAAUGGGGAAACCCACUUACAUAAGUAAGUAUCAUUAACUGAAUACAUAGGUUAAUGAGGCGAACCGGGGGAACUGAAACAUCUAAGUACCCCGAGGAAAAGAAAUCAACCGAGAUUCCGAAAGUAGCGGCGAGCGAAAUUGGACUAGCCCUUAAGCUUUACACGCGUUAGACGAACGGUCUGGAAAGUCCGACGAUACAGGGUGAUAGUCCCGUAGUUGACGACGUGUGUUCAGUGAAAUCGAGUAGGGCGGGACACGUGAUAUCCUGUCUGAAUAUGGGGGGACCAUCCUCCAAGGCUAAAUACUACUGACUGACCGAUAGUGAACCAGUACCGUGAGGGAAAGGCGAAAAGAACCCCUGUGAGGGGAGUGAAAUAGAACCUGAAACCGUGUACGUACAAGCAGUAGGAGCAGGCUUUGUCCUGUGACUGCGUACCUUUUGUAUAAUGGGUCAGCGACUUAUAUUCAGUGGCAAGGUUAACCAUCUAGGGGAGCCGUAGGGAAACCGAGUCUUAACUGGGCGUUCAGUCUCUGGAUAUAGACCCGAAACCAGGUGAUCUAGCCAUGGGCAGGUUGAAGGUUGAGUAACAUCAACUGGAGGACCGAACCGACUAAUGUUGAAAAAUUAGCGGAUGACUUGUGGCUAGGGGUGAAAGGCCAAUCAAACCUGGAGAUAGCUGGUUCUCCCCGAAAGCUAUUUAGGUAGCGCCUCGGACGAAUACUACUGGGGGUAGAGCACUGUUAAGGCUAGGGGGUCAUCCCGACUUACCAACCCUUUGCAAACUCCGAAUACCAGUAAGUACUAUCCGGGAGACACACGGCGGGUGCUAACGUCCGUCGUGGAGAGGGAAACAACCCAGACCGCCAGCUAAGGUCCCAAAUUACUACUAAGUGGGAAACGAUGUGGGAAGGCUCAGACAGCCAGGAUGUUGGCUUAGAAGCAGCCAUCAUUUAAAGAAAGCGUAAUAGCUCACUGGUCGAGUCGGCCUGCGCGGAAGAUGUAACGGGGCUAAGUAGUAAACCGAAGCUGCGGCAAUAUACUUUUGUAUAUUGGGUAGGGGAGCGUUCUGUAAGCGGUUGAAGGUGUGUGGUAACGCAUGCUGGACGUAUCAGAAGUGCGAAUGCUGACAUGAGUAACGAUAAAGGGGGUGAAAAACCUCCUCGCCGGAAGACCAAGGGUUCCUGUCCAACGUUAAUCGGGGCAGGGUAAGUCGACCCCUAAGGCGAGGCCGAAAGGCGUAGUCGAUGGGAAACGGGUUAAUAUUCCCGUACUUCUUACAAUUGCGAUGGGGGGACGGAGAAGGCUAGGUGGGCCUGGCGACGGUUGUCCAGGUUCAAGUGCGUAGGCUUAAGAGUUAGGUAAAUCCGGCUCUUUUUAAGGCUGAGACACGACGUCGAGCAUCUACGGAUGUGAAGUCAUUGAUGCCAUGCUUCCAGGAAAAGCCUCUAAGCUUCAGAUUGUAAGGAAUCGUACCCCAAACCGACACAGGUGGUCGGGUAGAGAAUACCAAGGCGCUUGAGAGAACUCGGGUGAAGGAACUAGGCAAAAUGGUACCGUAACUUCGGGAGAAGGUACGCUCUCGACGGUGAAGUCCCUCGCGGAUGGAGCUAUUGAGAGUCGCAGAUACCAGGUGGCUGCAACUGUUUAUUAAAAACACAGCACUGUGCAAAAUCGUAAGAUGACGUAUACGGUGUGACGCCUGCCCGGUGCCGGAAGGUUAAUUGAUGGGGUUAGACUUCGGUCGAAGCUCUUGAUCGAAGCCCCGGUAAACGGCGGCCGUAACUAUAACGGUCCUAAGGUAGCGAAAUUCCUUGUCGGGUAAGUUCCGACCUGCACGAAUGGCGUAAUGAUGGCCACGCUGUCUCCACCCGAGACUCAGUGAAAUUGAAAUCGCUGUGAAGAUGCAGUGUACCCGCGGCUAGACGGAAAGACCCCGUGAACCUUUACUACAGCUUGGCACUGAACAUUGACCCUACAUGUGUAGGAUAGGUGGGAGGCUUUGAAGCAGGUACGCCAGUAUCUGUGGAGCCGUCCUUGAAAUACCACCCUUGUAGUGUUGAUGUUCUAACGUCGACCCCUUAUCGGGGUUGCGGACAGUGCCUGGUGGGUAGUUUGACUGGGGCGGUCUCCUCCCAAAGAGUAACGGAGGAGCACGAAGGUGGGCUAAUCACGGUUGGACAUCGUGAGGUUAGUGCAAUGGCAUAAGCCCGCUUGACUGCGAGAAUGACAAUUCGAGCAGGUGCGAAAGCAGGUCAUAGUGAUCCGGUGGUUCUGAAUGGAAGGGCCAUCGCUCAACGGAUAAAAGGUACUCCGGGGAUAACAGGCUGAUACCGCCCAAGAGUUCAUAUCGACGGCGGUGUUUGGCACCUCGAUGUCGGCUCAUCACAUCCUGGGGCUGAAGUCGGUCCCAAGGGUAUGGCUGUUCGCCAUUUAAAGUGGUACGCGAGCUGGGUUUAGAACGUCGUGAGACAGUUCGGUCCCUAUCUGCCGUGGGCGUUGGAAGAUUGAAGGGGGCUGCUCCUAGUACGAGAGGACCGGAGUGGACGAACCUCUGGUGUUCGGGUUGUGUCGCCAGACGCAUUGCCCGGUAGCUAAGUUCGGAAUCGAUAACCGCUGAAAGCAUCUAAGCGGGAAGCGAGCCCUGAGAUGAGUCUUCCCUGAUACUUUAAGUAUCCUAAAGGGUUGUCGGAGACUACGACGUUGAUAGGUCAGGUGUGUAAGUGCUGUGAGGCAUUGAGCUAACUGAUACUAAUUGCCCGUGAGGCUUAACC
RNAcentral lists this ribosomal RNA (2887 nucleotides) under Vibrio parahaemolyticus. Its description in RNAcentral is "bacterial LSU rRNA". It matches the Rfam family "Bacterial large subunit ribosomal RNA". Lineage: Bacteria; Pseudomonadati; Pseudomonadota; Gammaproteobacteria; Vibrionales; Vibrionaceae. The record is from RNAcentral.